This 443-nucleotide ribosomal RNA is filed under the name uncultured bacterium. Its description in RNAcentral is "partial 16S ribosomal RNA". It matches the Rfam family "Bacterial small subunit ribosomal RNA", at positions 338 to 795 of the family's 1533-position model. The record is from RNAcentral.
CCUACGGGUGGCAGCAGUGGGGAAUAUUGGGCAAUGGGCGCAAGUCUGACCCAGCAACGCCGCGUGAAGGAAGAAGGCUUUCGGGUCGUAAACUUCUUUUGUCAGGGACGAAGCAAGUGACGGUACCUGACGAAUAAGUCACGGCUAACUACGUGCCAGCAGCCGCGGUAAUACGUAGGUGGCAAGCGUUAUCUGGAUGUACUGGGAGUAAAGGGCGUGUAGGCGGGACUGCAAGUCAGAUGUGAAAACCACGGGCUCAACCUGUGGACUGCAUUGGAAACUGUAGUUCUUGAGUACUGGAGAGGAGGGCGGAAUUCCAGGUGUAGCGGUGGAAUGCGUAGAUAUAAGGAAGAACACCAGUGGCGAAGGCGGUCUGCUGGACAGCAACUGACGCUGAGGCGCGAAAGCGUGGGUAGCAAACAGGAUUAGAUACCCCAGUAGUC